GGGAGGCAGCAGUGGGGAAUUUUGGACAAUGGGCGAAAGCCUGAUCCAGCAAUGCCGCGUGAGUGAAGAAGGCCUUCGGGUUGUAAAGCUCUUUUGUCAGGGAAGAAACGGUGGGAGCUAAUAUCUCUUGCUAAUGACGGUACCUGAAGAAUAAGCACCGGCUAACUACGUGCCAGCAGCCGCGGUAAUACGUAGGGUGCAAGCGUUAAUCGGAAUUACUGGGCGUAAAGCGUGCGCAGGCGGUUUUGUAAGUCU
RNAcentral lists this ribosomal RNA (255 nucleotides) under Janthinobacterium lividum. RNAcentral's name for it is "partial 16S ribosomal RNA". It matches the Rfam family "Bacterial small subunit ribosomal RNA", at positions 343 to 590 of the family's 1533-position model. Lineage: Bacteria; Pseudomonadati; Pseudomonadota; Betaproteobacteria; Burkholderiales; Oxalobacteraceae. The record is from RNAcentral.